AGCCCGAUCGUUCAACGGAAGGACGCCGCUCUGAUACGGCGGCAACGAAGGUUCGACUCCUUCUCGGGCUA
This 71-nucleotide transfer RNA is filed under the name Planctomycetaceae bacterium. Its description in RNAcentral is "tRNA-Ile". It matches the Rfam family "tRNA". Rfam says of the family: Transfer RNA (tRNA) molecules are approximately 80 nucleotides in length. Their secondary structure includes four short double-helical elements and three loops (D, anti-codon, and T loops). The record is from RNAcentral. Lineage: Bacteria; Pseudomonadati; Planctomycetota; Planctomycetia; Planctomycetales; Planctomycetaceae.